RNAcentral lists this ribosomal RNA (1060 nucleotides) under Bacillus aerius. RNAcentral's name for it is "bacterial SSU rRNA". It matches the Rfam family "Bacterial small subunit ribosomal RNA", at positions 56 to 1096 of the family's 1533-position model. Lineage: Bacteria; Bacillati; Bacillota; Bacilli; Caryophanales; Bacillaceae. The record is from RNAcentral.
GGCAAGGUCGAAGCGGGACAGAAAGGGAGCUUGGCUCCCGGGAUGUUAGCGGCGGACGGGUGAGUAACACGUGGGUAACCUGCCUGUAAGACUGGGAUAACUCCGGGAAACCGGAGCUAAUACCGGAUAGUUCCUUGAACCGCAUGGUUCAAGGAUGAAAGACGGUUUCGGCUGUCACUUACAGAUGGACCCGCGGCGCAUUAGCUAGUUGGUGAGGUAACGGCUCACCAAGGCGACGAUGCGUAGCCGACCUGAGAGGGUGAUCGGCCACACUGGGACUGAGACACGGCCCAGACUCCUACGGGAGGCAGCAGUAGGGAAUCUUCCGCAAUGGACGAAAGUCUGACGGAGCAACGCCCGUGAGUGAUGAAGGUUUUCGGAUCGUAAAGCUCUGUUGUUAGGGAAGAACAAGUGCAAGAGUAACUGCUUGCACCUUGACGGUACCUAACCAGAAAGCCACGGCUAACUACGUGCCAGCAGCCGCGGUAAUACGUAGGUGGCAAGCGUUGUCCGGAAUUAUUGGGCGUAAAGGGCUCGCAGGCGGUUUCUUAAGUCUGAUGUGAAAGCCCCCGGCUCAACCGGGGAGGGUCAUUGGAAACUGGGAAACUUGAGUGCAGAAGAGGAGAGUGGAAUUCCACGUGUAGCGGUGAAAUGCGUAGAGAUGUGGAGGAACACCAGUGGCGAAGGCGACUCUCUGGUCUGUAACUGACGCUGAGGAGCGAAAGCGUGGGGAGCGAACAGGAUUAGAUACCCUGGUAGUCCACGCCGUAAACGAUGAGUGCUAAGUGUUAGGGGGUUUCCGCCCCUUAGUGCUGCAGCUAACGCAUUAAGCACUCCGCCUGGGGAGUACGGUCGCAAGACUGAAACUCAAAGGAAUUGACGGGGGCGCGUCACAAGCGGUGGAGCAUGUGGUUUAUUUCGAAGCACCGCGAGAACCUUACAAGGUCUGGAGGUCCUCGGACAACCCUAGAGAUAGGGCUUUCCCUUCGGGGACAGAGGGAAGGAGGUGCAUGGUGGCGUCGGUUCUUUCCAGAAAAGUUGGGUAAAGUCCCGCAACGAG